GGGCCCGCACAAGCGGAGGAACAUGUGGUUUAAUUCGAUGAUACGCGAGGAACCUUACCCGGGCUUAAAUGUAGGCUGCAUGAGGUGGAAACACCCUUCCCUUCGGGGCUGCCUACAAGGUGCUGCAUGGUUGUCGUCAGCUCGUGCCGUGAGGUGUCGGGUUAAGUCCCAUAACGAGCGCAACCCCUAUCGUUAGUUGCCAUCGGGUGAAGCCGGGAACUCUAGCGAGACUGCCACCGUAAGGUGAGAGGAAGGUGGGGAUGACGUCAAAUCAGCACGGCCCUUAUGUCCGGGGCUACACACGUGUUACAAUGGACGGUACAGAGGGCCGCUACCCCGCGAGGGGAUGCCAAUCUCGAAAGCCGUUCUCAGUUCGGAUCGCAGUCUGAAACCCGACUGCGUGAAGUUGGAUUCGCUAGUAAUCGCGCAUCAGCCAUGGCGCGGUGAAUACGUUCCCGGGCCUU
RNAcentral lists this ribosomal RNA (464 nucleotides) under uncultured bacterium. Its description in RNAcentral is "bacterial SSU rRNA". It matches the Rfam family "Bacterial small subunit ribosomal RNA", at positions 917 to 1382 of the family's 1533-position model. The record is from RNAcentral.